This is a long non-coding RNA of Eriocheir sinensis (Chinese mitten crab), 2614 nucleotides long. RefSeq lists it as uncharacterized. NCBI's taxonomy places the organism in Eukaryota, Metazoa, Arthropoda, Malacostraca, Decapoda, Varunidae. The transcript is spliced from 3 exons. The record is from RefSeq and is a predicted model, not a curated record.
UGUGUGUGUGUGUGUGUGUUUUACCUCUCUGCGUGUAUCUCCAAGUUUGUGUGUGUGUAUCUGUAAGUGUUUUAAGUGUGUAUAUCAUUGUCGUGUGUGUGUGUAUAUGUGUGUGUGUGUGUGUGUGUGUGUGUGUGUGUGUGUGUGUGUGUGUGUGUGUGUGUGUCCUGCCCUUGUCCAGUAUUCAUCCCCCCUCCCUCCAAGUAGGCAAGCAGAUGGUAUUAGGGAAGCUUAGUUAAGGUAAGGCAAGGGAAGGGAAAGGAAGGAUAGGCAAGGUGAGGUAAGGCAAGGUAUAGGAUGCAAGACUAAGGUAAAGCAAGGCAACGUAAUGUUAGGCAAGGGAAUUUAAGGCAAAGUAAGGGAAGGGAACGUAAGGUAAGGUAGAGUAAGGCAAGAUAUUGUAAGGUAAGGCAACGUAAUGUUAGGUAAAGUAAGGGCAGGGAACAUAAGGCAAGGUUGGAUAAAGGAAGUAAAGGUUAGGCAAGGCAAAGGUAAGUAAGGCAAAGGUAAAGGUAGAUCAAGCAAAGGCAAGGCAAGGCAAGGCAAGGGUAGGUAAGGCAAAGGGAAAGUAAGCAGAGGUAGACAAAGGUAACGCAAGGCAGGGCAGGGCAAGGCAAGGUGGGGAGGCCUGGGCUUGUUAAAACUUAUACUGCCUUCCUUUAUGAUCCGCGGCGCACGUUUUAUUUGUUGUGUGGCGGCGGUGUGGGCGGCGGGGUGCUGCUGCCCUCCCCUGCCUCACCGCCGGCCGGGGGUGUGCGAGGCUGGGCGGAGGAGGAGGAAGAGAUUGCCCAGGGAAAAGUAGGAGAAAAAGAGUUGAAAAUGAUUGGCCAAGGAAAAGAUUGGCCAAGGAAAAGUAGGAGGAAAAGAGUUAAAAAUGAUUGGCCAAGGAAAAGUAGGAGGAAAAGAUUGGCCAAGGAAAAGUAGCGGAAAAAGAGUUGAAAAAGAUUGGCCAAAGAAAAGUAGGGGAAAAAGAUUGGCCAAGGAAAAGUAGGAGAAAAAGAGUUGAAAAAGAUUGGACAAGGAAAAGUAGGAGGAAAAGAUUGGCCAAGGAAAAGUAGGAGGAAAAGAUUGGCCAAGGAAAAGUAGGAGGAAAAGAUUGGCCAAGGAAAAGUAGGAGGAAAAGAUUGGCCAAGGAAAAGUAGGAGGAAAAGAUUGGCCAAGGAAAAGUAGGAGGAAAAGAUUGGCCAAGGAAAAGUAGGAGGAAAAGAUUGGCCAAGGAAAAGUAGGAGGAAAAGAUUGGCCAAGGAAAAGUAGGAGGAAAAGAUUGGCCAAGGAAAGUAGGCGGAAAAUACUACCGCCUUGGAGAGAUUCGAGAGACAAAGGUGUUAGAGAGGAGAGAGAUAUAUAGACCAACUAAACCACAUAGCAGAUUGUUAAGCAGAAAGUAGAAAAAGACAGAUUGACGUAAAAUAAAGAUAGUUAAAGAUUCAUACCGCCUUGGAGAGAUUCGAGAGACAAAGAUGUUAGAGAGAAGAGGAGAGAGAUAUAUAGACCAACUAAACCACAUAGCAGAUUGUUAAGCAGAAAGUAGAAGAAAAAAAGAUUGACCGUAAAUAAAGAUGGAAAUUGAUAGGUACCGCCAUUGAGAGAUAAGAGAGAGAAAAGCUGUUAGACAAAGAGGAGGGAGAAAUAUACAUAGACCAACUAAACCACAUAGCAGAUUGUUAAGGAGAAAGUAGAAGAAAAAAGGAUUGAACUUACAUAAAGAUGGAAACUGAUACAUGCCUUCAUUAAGAGAUUAGAUAUAGAAGCCAUUACAGAGAAGAGGGGAGGGAUAUAUAGACAAAAGAAGAUGCAACCAUUGAAAUAUUAUAGAGGCUGAAAAUAGGAAAUAAAAGAUGACUAGAAUAUAAGUAUAAGAAGAUAGAAGCAAUAGAUUAUAAGACAGACAUAAAUUGAAUGAAAAAAAAAGAUAUAGAUGGAGAUUAUACAACAAGAAAAAACCAUUGAAAUAUUAGAUGGUUUGAGUAAGGAAGGGGUAAUGGAAGGGAGCUUGUAUGAAGAGGUGAUGGGGAGCGAUGGGGAAGCAGGGGAGGGAGUAGUGGGGAGGGACUUUUAGAAAUUAAAGGAGGGGGGGGGUUGACGGAGGGGGGAUAGAAAGAAGGAAAAGAAGGAACUAAGAUUAAAGAAGAAAACAUAACUGGCUUUUGUGGUUUGUUUAAAGAUAAUAAGAAGAAAGUAGAUGAAUUAUUAAAGAGAAAAACUGCUCUUUGUGUGUGUGUGUGUGUGUGUGUGUGUGUGUGUGUGUGUGUGUGUGUGUGUGUGUGUGUUAAGUGAGUUUUGCGUUCCUGUAGAAAUCGCGUAACAUGAAUUCGCGUAAUUUGAACAUUCGCUCUCAUAAGAACAUUUCAGUAUUUCACUUCAAUCGCGUAAAUGUAAACAAGAAUCGCGUAAAAGGGAAUAAAGGAAGGAAUAAGGUGUAAUUUGAACCCCCUCUUCCUCCCCUCCCCUUUUCACCAUCCUUCCUUUCCCCUCCCUUUCCCCUCCCUUUCCCCUUCCUUUCCCGUUCCUUUCCUCUCCUUUCCCCUCCCUUUCCCAUUAAAAAAUUCUCGUCAAACUUAUUUCCGCGUUAAACAAGAGAUCACUUUCUUAAACGACAAAAAAAAAAAAAAAA